GUUUUGUUCGUCUCAUCAGACUCUUCAUUUAGCUUUGACUCCAUAUAUGCUGCUAAUUCGGCCUUCAGGUUUACUAGUAAGGUAGAGGCCGUUUCUAGUUUCGACUUGAGAUCCUUCGAUAAUAUGAACUGUUCGUUAAGUCGCUGAACUUCAGCUUCGGCUUGCUUCAAUUCGUUCUCCCAGUUCAGACAAUCUUGCUCUCUCGCCAAGGCCGCGCCAAUCCUAU
This 226-nucleotide unclassified non-coding RNA is filed under the name Hevea brasiliensis (rubber tree). The record is from RNAcentral. Lineage: Eukaryota; Viridiplantae; Streptophyta; Magnoliopsida; Malpighiales; Euphorbiaceae.